CUCCCUUCUGCCCCCCGCGGGAGAGUGGCGCAUGCGCACCUCGUUUAGAAUGCCGUGGGUAUCCCUCCGCUCGCGCGCGGAGAUUGAACCGCCUCACGGAGAGUGUCGAAGGCGCUUGAAGCUGGAGGCGCAGAAAUGUCGAGCCCUGCCCCCCGCGUGCGUCCUGGCCAAGCCCCUCAGGCUGCUCUUUAAACGUCGCUCGUGAGGGGAGGCCGGGUUAGGAAGCGCUCCGGAGCAGUAUGAGACCUGACUGAAUUUGUGGAGUUGCGUGUGACCUGACGCUGUCUCAUGCUCGGACUCUCCGCAGGAGCUGCCCAUAAAUUAGGAUUUCUCAAGCUUUUGGUGCUGAUGAACCUUGGGGGGAUUAUGAAACAUUCCAUAAUCUGUCCAGACUUCCACUAAACAUAAGCAGAUUGUGUCCACAGUUGGUGCUCUAGUACCGACAGAGAGAGCAGUGCAUCCUGGGUAGCUAGCCCACUGUGCAAAUUGCCACCGUUUCCUGCUAGGAGUUCUGUGAACGGAUCACAGUGCAUCAUGGGGAUGGGAUCACCACUGGAUGAUGCAGUUUUCUCCAUCCCAUAAUUCCAAGGGCUUCGAACUGCAUUGUGCGCUGCUUUUCAACUGCCCCUGUAAACUUUAUGCCCACCAUCUGUGCUUGAAAGCAUGGAUCCUGCCAUGCUCCUCACUCUUGUGAUAAACAUUAUGAACAUAACGCAGCUGAUCCUGCAGUAUUUGGUGACCUGCAAAUCUGAACAAGAAUCUGUGGUGCCUGUUCUGCUGUAUGGAAAGAAACAAUUCAAGAUUGAUGAUGGUAUUCACGGAGCAGCUGCACAUGGUAGACUGUCCCUAUUGGGCUCAGGAAACAAGCACCGAAUGCUGGGAUCAGAUUGUGAUACACAUAUGGGAUGAGGAGAGACAGAACUUUUAUAUGUGCAAAGCCACCUUUCUUGAACUCCAUGUGGAGCUCAUCUUCAUCCUUUGGUGCAGACACCAAAAUGAGAGCUGCCUUCAUUGUGGAAAGUGUAUGGCAAUCACUGUGUGGAAACUGGCAACUCCAGACUGCUACCACCUACCAGUCAAUCAUGAAUCAGUUUGAGUUGGGAAGUCCACCGUGGGAUUGCAGUGAUGGAAGUGUGCAGGGCCUUUAAUUGCCUCCUGCUAUGAAGGACUUUGACUCUGUGUAUUGUGCAGGAAAUAGUCAAUGGCUUUGCAGCAAUAAGAUUCCCUAACUGUGGCAGAGCAAUAGAUGGCACGCAUAUCCCAAUUUUGGCCCCAGACCAUCUUACAAUGGAGUACCUCAACAGGCAGGGCUACUUCCGUAUAGUAUUGCAGAUGUUGGUUGAUCACUGGGGUUGUUUCACUGACAUCAAUGCAGGGUAGUCAGGGAAGAUGCAUAACACAUGCAGCUUCAGGAACACUGCCCUGUAUGGAAAACUGCUUGCAGGAUCUUUCUUUCCAGACCAGAUGAUUCCAGCGGGGGAUGUGGAAAUUCCCAUAGUGAUCUUGGGAGACUCAACCUAUCCCUUACUCGUGUGGCUCAUGAAGCCAUACACUGGAAACCCUGACAGCAGCAAGGAGUGCUUCAACAACAGGCUCAGCAGGUGCAGAAUGACCAUAGAAUAUGUGUUUGGCAGAGUAAGGGUAGCUGGUGGUGCCUUUUAGGCAGGUUAGGCCCCAUUAAGGAAAAUAUUUUCAUGGUCAUAGCAGCCUGUUGUGCUUUACCUAACAUUUGUAAAGCCAGGAGG
This is a long non-coding RNA of Chelonoidis abingdonii (Abingdon island giant tortoise), 1745 nucleotides long. RefSeq lists it as uncharacterized. Lineage: Eukaryota; Metazoa; Chordata; Testudines; Testudinidae. The record is from RefSeq and is a predicted model, not a curated record.